AAAAACAGACAUGAAGAGAUGAGGAAAAAAGAUAUUAAAAGAAGAGAAAAAAGGAGAGGAGAGGAGAGGAGGUGGAGGGCAAUAUGAAGAGUGAACCGUCGCUGUCAAGAAGACAAUCAUCAGUUUAUUUCAUAUCGUAUAAAUGAUGUACAUGAAUAAUCCAUCUGUUCACGUUUAUUCACUGGAAAUUGAACAGUUUUUCUCCCUUGUUUGCAUUUUUUAGAGAGAGAAGAGGAGAAGACACGACUGAAGUAGAGUGAGGACUGAGACAAGAAGAAAGAAGAGAAAUAUCAGAGUGGAGGAGAGGAGGGGAGGUGGGAGGAUAAUAUGAUGUGUAAACCCUCUCAUGUAAAAGAGGAAAAACAAUUACAGAAGAAAAGAGACAUGAAGAGAUGAGGAAAAAAGACAAUAAAAAAAGGAGAGGACAGGACGUGGCAUUUUGAAGAAUGAGUAUUCACAUAUAAAAGCCAAGAAAAUUCUGAACUGCCCUUUUCACAAACUUCAAGUGAAUCAUGUUUCUACAAAGAUUUUUGUCAUGAUCAAACUGUUCAAAAACAAGGGUUUGAAAUACAAAGU
This is a long non-coding RNA of Lates calcarifer (barramundi perch), 576 nucleotides long. RefSeq lists it as uncharacterized. Lineage: Eukaryota; Metazoa; Chordata; Actinopteri; Centropomidae. The transcript has 3 exons. The record is from RefSeq and is a predicted model, not a curated record.